RNAcentral lists this long non-coding RNA (206 nucleotides) under Hordeum vulgare. RNAcentral describes it as "long non-coding RNA (HVUL_LNC009763)". Lineage: Eukaryota; Viridiplantae; Streptophyta; Magnoliopsida; Poales; Poaceae. The record is from RNAcentral.
GGGUGGAGCUUGAUGCGGCCAUGGGAUGGCCAUGGAGCAAAGUCGACACACGAGUGUCUUCGAUCAUGCUCCAGAGUGUGCUUUUGGCCGGCAUGAUGAUGCCCUUGAUGUGCUCUGGCACGACCACUUGCGUACAACAACUCUAGGGAGAUUAAACAAAGGGGAAGGGGCAUGGGAUGCUCUCGAGGCUGGCCAGGAGAGAGAGA